AAACUUGAGAGUUUGAUCCUGGCUCAGAACGAACGCUGGCGGCAGGCCUAAAACAUGCAAGUCGAGCGCCCAGCAAUGGGAGCGGCGGACGGGUGAGUAACACGUGGGAACAUGCCUUUCGGUACGGAACAACUCAGGGAAACUUGAGCUAAUACCGUAUGCGCCCUAACGGGGAAAGAUUUAUCGCCGAAGGAUUGGCCCG
Molecule: ribosomal RNA, 202 nt
Filed under: Alphaproteobacteria bacterium
Lineage: Bacteria; Pseudomonadati; Pseudomonadota; Alphaproteobacteria
Description: partial 16S ribosomal RNA
Rfam family: Bacterial small subunit ribosomal RNA
Source: RNAcentral